CUGAGAAGGGAGGGAACAAAUGCCCCAGGCGCUGGCCCUGGUUUCAUGGAAGAAGAGAGGGAUCAACCUCUUGAGCCCAUUGUGGACCAGGCCCCUGCCCUUCUGUUCUUUCUGCAGUGGGGAUCACUUCAGCGAGGGGCCAGUUUACUCAUUUCGUAGAUGAGGAAACUGCGGCACAGAGAGGGAUUUAGGCUCUUCCCAAAUGAAAGCAAAGACAGCCACCAGCUGCUCCCGGCUCACGUCAAACCAGUCAGCCACCCCAGUGGAAAAGAGCUUCUUUCCCUAACCAGUUCCUGCAAACAUCCUCACAGUGACCUCCCAUCUCGGAACUUGAUCUGACCUCCCUGAACUAAUACCUGGGACUCUGAUUGGUUAGGGCUAAGUGGGCCCCACUUGAAUCACGGAGAUUGAGAUGGUGCCUUGUGGAUCCCCAAAGGAAAACUGGGCUGCUGUUAUCAGAAGACAGGGGUGUGAUGCUGGGCAGGUAGAGACAACAGGUUGUAUCCUGCUAGCCUCUGGGAUAAAGUGCCUGUCCUGGCACAUAGUAAGUGCUCAAGGAGUAUUUCUAGUUGAAUGAACAUUCAGUGAAGGUUUUCCUGCAUCAUUCCAUCUUCUAAAUGUGGG
This is a long non-coding RNA of Choloepus didactylus (southern two-toed sloth), 624 nucleotides long. RefSeq lists it as uncharacterized. NCBI's taxonomy places the organism in Eukaryota, Metazoa, Chordata, Mammalia, Pilosa, Megalonychidae. The record is from RefSeq and is a predicted model, not a curated record. The transcript is spliced from 3 exons.